RNAcentral lists this ribosomal RNA (243 nucleotides) under uncultured bacterium. Its description in RNAcentral is "partial 16S ribosomal RNA". It matches the Rfam family "Bacterial small subunit ribosomal RNA", at positions 107 to 334 of the family's 1533-position model. The record is from RNAcentral.
UAAACAACGUAAAACCAACCUCCCUUCAGGUGGGGAACAACAGAACGGAACGACUCUAAUACCGAAUAAGUUCCAAGAGCCGCAUGGCCCAUGGAAGAAAAGGUGGCCUCUACCUGUAAGCUAUCGCCUGAAGAGGGGUUUGCGUCUGAUUAGCUGGUUGGAGGGGUAACGGCCCACCAAGGCGACGAUCAGUAGCCGGUCUGAGAGGAUGAACGGCCACACUGGAACUGAGACACGGUCCAG